UUCUAAUUGCUUCAUAAUUAGUAAGACCUGCACCAUGACCUUUAAAUAGCCGCUAUUUUCUGUGCUAAGGUAGCAAAAUCAUUCGCCUUUCAAUUGGAGGCUAGUAUGAAAGGUCUAACAUGAAAAUUUCUUUAUUAUUUUUAUUUAUUGAAAUUAACUUUAAUGUAAAAAGGCAUUUAUUUUUAGAGGGACGACAAGACCCUGUCGAGCUUCACAUUAUGUUGAGCUGGGGUGGCUUAAAACAAAUUCUUUUUUUAUUUAUUAUCCUUUAGUGAUAUGAACAAGUUACCGCAGGGAUAACAGCAUAAUUUUUUCUUAUAGACCUUAUUCAAGAAAAAGAUUGUGACCUCGAUGUUGAAUAUUAAUCUAUUUGGAGUAGCAUCUUUACCAGAAAGUCUGUUCGACUUUUAAAAAUUUACA
RNAcentral lists this ribosomal RNA (420 nucleotides) under Paraembolides cannoni. Its description in RNAcentral is "partial 16S ribosomal RNA". It matches the Rfam family "Bacterial large subunit ribosomal RNA", at positions 1832 to 2600 of the family's 2925-position model. Lineage: Eukaryota; Metazoa; Arthropoda; Arachnida; Araneae; Hexathelidae. The record is from RNAcentral.